This 419-nucleotide ribosomal RNA is filed under the name Aoraki denticulata. RNAcentral's name for it is "partial 16S ribosomal RNA". The stretch from base 280 to 419 matches the Rfam family "Bacterial large subunit ribosomal RNA", at positions 2473 to 2612 of the family's 2925-position model. Lineage: Eukaryota; Metazoa; Arthropoda; Arachnida; Opiliones; Pettalidae. The record is from RNAcentral.
UAAAUUGUUCAUUAAUUGUGAACUGGAAUGAAGGAAAAAAUGGUUUAGAACUGUCUUAAAAUUAUAUAUUUAAUUUAAAUUUUUUGUAAAAAUACAAAAAUAUUUUUUAGGGACAAGAAGACCCUAUAAAGCUUUAUUGAUUUUGUUUAUAUAUUUUAAACUAUAUUUCAUUUGAUUGGGGCAAUAAUUUAUAUACAAUCAAUAUAAAUAAAAUUUAUAAUUUAAUUAUUUUAAUAUAAUGAUCCAUUAUUAAUGAAAAAAUGAUUAAGUUACUUUAGGGAUAACAGGAUAAUUUUUAUUAGAAAGUUCUUAUUAAUAAUAAAGUUUAUUACCUCGAUGUUGAAUUAAUUUAAUUUAAUGGUGAAGUAGCUUUUUGAGUUUGACUGUUCGUCAAUUAAAUAAUUACAUGAUCUGAGUUC